GUCUUCAUGGUGUAAUGGCCAGUACACUCGACGUGUAUUCGAGAGGUCCGAGGUUCAAGUCCCGGAGAGGGCA
Non-coding RNA from Stegodyphus mimosarum, 73 nucleotides. The record is from Rfam. NCBI's taxonomy places the organism in Eukaryota, Metazoa, Arthropoda, Arachnida, Araneae, Eresidae.